Antechinus flavipes (yellow-footed antechinus) is the source of this 831-nucleotide long non-coding RNA. RefSeq lists it as uncharacterized. The record is from RefSeq and is a predicted model, not a curated record. The transcript has 6 exons. Lineage: Eukaryota; Metazoa; Chordata; Mammalia; Dasyuromorphia; Dasyuridae.
ACGGGCACUAUCUUUAAAAGCAGCCUUGGUUCCCCAAGUCUCGGACCAAACUUGUAAUCUUCGACUGGUUUUCUAAAAUUUAUCCUGAUGGAUAAUACCCCCCAUCUCUUGGAAGUGUUCUUCCUAACCGGCGGCUUCCGCCACGUGUUCGACCUCCAGUUUCCUCCCUGGGCUGGAGUUGGAGCACCGGAGUCUACCCAAGUUUUGGCCGCGGAGGGGGAGGGGGAGCGGCAUUUCAACUUUAACGAUAGAAACAGAAUGGAAAAACCAUGGAUCCAGGGAAUGUUCCCUCAGGGAAGUGAAGCAAGUUAUCAUUGUACUAGAAUAUUAAUAAACUGUUUUCAAGGCUUUUUUGAAAAGAGGAGAUGAAACAGGCCAGACUGAGCAGAUGGGCUUAAAUGUGAAGAAGUGAGGCCCAUGUGGCUUUUGUUUAGGUUGAAUUCCCUGCAGGUUGUCCACCAUCUAUGAAAUCCAUGUUUAAUGGCCUCAAUUAUGGACUAUUAAAUUCCAGACUUGAGGUUAGUGGGGAUUGAAGAAAUUUGGAACUGGAACAAUCUGUACCACUGAGUAACUCAAAGUGAAAGAACCUUUUAGAAGGAUGGGCCUAUAAGAAAUGUUUCUGAAAAGACUGAAGAGAAAGAAUCCAGACCACAACCACUGAUUUCCCAGUAAAUUUUGAAAUGUCAAAAGCAUGUUUUCUUCUACUUUUCUUCAUUUCCUUUUUCCAAUUUAAAAUGUCUAUAACAAAGCUGCUACUGAUUGGAGGAGCUGGUCACCCAUUUUGGCCCUCCCCUCUGCUGGAGGGCCUAAUAAACUUUUCUCUAAAACGAC